CUGAACCAGCCAAGUAGCGUGAAGGAUGAAGGUUCUAUGGAUUGUAAACUUCUUUUAUAAGGGAAUAAAGUGCUUUACGUGUAGAGUUUUGUAUGUACCUUAUGAAUAAGCAUCGGCUAACUCCGUGCCAGCAGCCGCGGUAAUACGGAGGAUGCGAGCGUUAUCCGGAUUUAUUGGGUUUAAAGGGAGCGUAGACGGGAUGUUAAGUCAGCUGUGAAAGUUUGGGGCUCAACCUUAAAAUUGCAGUUGAAACUGGCGUUCUUGAGUGCGGCAGAGGCAGGCGGAAUUCGUGGUGUAGCGGUGAAAUGCUUAGAUAUCACGAAGAACCCCUAUUGCGAAGGCAGCCUGCUGGACCGUAACUGACGUUGAUGCUCGAAAGUGUGGGUAUCAAACAGGAUUAGAUACCCUGGUAGUCCACACGGUAAACGAUGGAUACUCGCUGUUGGCGAUA
This 451-nucleotide ribosomal RNA is filed under the name Bacteroides caecigallinarum. Its description in RNAcentral is "bacterial SSU rRNA". It matches the Rfam family "Bacterial small subunit ribosomal RNA", at positions 383 to 831 of the family's 1533-position model. Lineage: Bacteria; Pseudomonadati; Bacteroidota; Bacteroidia; Bacteroidales; Bacteroidaceae. The record is from RNAcentral.